GAGUUUGAUCCUGGCUCAGGACGAACGCUGGCGGCGUGCCUAAUACAUGCAAGUCGAGCGAGCUUGCCUAGAUGAUUUUAGUGCUUGCACUAAAUGAAACUAGAUACAAGCGAGCGGCGGACGGGUGAGUAACACGUGGGUAACCUGCCCAAGAGACUGGGAUAACACCUGGAAACAGAUGCUAAUACCGGAUAACAACACUAGACGCAUGUCUAGAGUUUGAAAGAUGGUUCUGCUAUCACUCUUGGAUGGACCUGCGGUGCAUUAGCUAGUUGGUAAGGUAACGGCUUACCAAGGCAAUGAUGCAUAGCCGAGUUGAGAGACUGAUCGGCCACAUUGGGACUGAGACACGGCCCAAACUCCUACGGGAGGCAGCAGUAGGGAAUCUUCCACAAUGGACGAAAGUCUGAUGGAGCAACGCCGCGUGAGUGAAGAAGGGUUUCGGCUCGUAAAGCUCUGUUGGUAGUGAAGAAAGAUAGAGGUAGUAACUGGCCUUUAUUUGACGGUAAUUACUUAGAAAGUCACGGCUAACUACGUGCCAGCAGCCGCGGUAAUACGUAGGUGGCAAGCGUUGUCCGGAUUUAUUGGGCGUAAAGCGAGUGCAGGCGGUUCAAUAAGUCUGAUGUGAAAGCCUUCGGCUCAACCGGAGAAUUGCAUCAGAAACUGUUGAACUUGAGUGCAGAAAAGGAGAGUGGAACUCCAUGUGUAGCGGUGGAAUGCGUAGAUAUAUGGAAG
This 735-nucleotide ribosomal RNA is filed under the name uncultured bacterium. RNAcentral's name for it is "bacterial SSU rRNA". It matches the Rfam family "Bacterial small subunit ribosomal RNA", at positions 9 to 704 of the family's 1533-position model. The record is from RNAcentral.